ACAAGCUGCCAUAUUCUAUUAGAAUUCUUCUUGAAUCAGCAAUUCGUAAUUGUGACAACUUUCAAGUGAAAAAGGAGGAUGUUGAGAAGAUUAUUGACUGGGAAAAUACUGCGCCGAAGCUAGUGGAGAUACCGUUUAAGCCAGCCCGAGUCUUGCUGCAAGAUUUUACUGGUGUACCAGCUGUUGUGGACCUUGCUUGCAUGCGUGAUGCCAUGAACAAGCUUGGCAGCGAUUCUGACAAGAUUAAUCCAUUGGUGCCGGUAGAUCUGGUAAUUGAUCAUUCAGUUCAAGUUGAUGUGGCAAGGUCAGAAAAUGCUGUCCAGGCUAAUAUGGAACUGGAAUUCCAAAGGAACAAGGAGAGAUUCGCCUUUCUCAAGUGGGGUUCUAAUGCUUUUCGCAACAUGCUUGUUGUUCCACCAGGUUCUGGUAUUGUUCAUCAGGUGAAUCUUGAAUACCUCGGGAGAGUCGUCUUUAACAUGGAAGGCUUGCUCUAUCCUGAUAGUGUUGUCGGAACAGAUUCCCACACCACUAUGAUCGAUGGGCUUGGAGUUGCUGGCUGGGGUGUUGGAGGUAUUGAAGCAGAAGCUACAAUGCUUGGUCAGCCAAUGAGCAUGGUGUUGCCUGGAGUUGUUGGGUUCAAGUUAUCUGGAAAAUUGCGCAGUGGUGUAACUGCCACUGACUUGGUGUUGACAGUCACUCAAAUGCUUAGGAAGCAUGGUGUUGUUGGGAAGUUUGUUGAAUUCUAUGGUGAUGGAAUGAGUGAACUAUCAUUGGCUGACAGAGCCACCAUUGCAAACAUGUCUCCUGAAUAUGGUGCUACAAUGGGUUUCUUUCCUGUAGAUCAUGUUACAUUGCAGUAUCUGAAACUAACAGGGAGAAGUGACGAAACAGUGGAAAUGAUCGAAGCAUAUCUGCGUGCGAAUAAUAUGUUUGUCGACUAUAAUGAGCCUCAACAUGAGAAAGUGUACUCUGCUUCGUUGCACCUAGACCUUGCUGACGUUGAGCCAUGUGUCUCAGGGCCAAAAAGACCUCAUGACCGCGUGCCUUUGAAAGAAAUGAAGUCUGACUGGCACUCUUGCCUUGAUAAUAAGGUUGGAUUCAAGGGAUUUGCUGUGCCAAAAGAUGCACAGGAAAAAGUAGUAAAGUUUUCUUUCCAUGGACAAGAUGCAGAGCUCAAGCAUGGAAGUGUUGUGAUUGCAGCUAUUACAAGUUGCACUAAUACAUCAAAUCCCAGUGUUAUGCUAGGAGCAGCCCUUGUUGCAAAAAAGGCUUGCGAUCUGGGUCUACAUAUUAAGCCAUGGGUUAAAACAAGUCUUGCUCCUGGCUCCGGCGUAGUUACAAAAUAUUUACUCCAGAGUGGGCUGCAGAAGUAUUUGAAUCAGCAAGGUUUCCAUAUUGUUGGAUAUGGCUGCACAACUUGUAUUGGGAAUUCGGGGGAUUUGGAUGAAUCAGUUGCUUCUGCUAUAUCAGAAAAUGACAUUGUUGCUGCUGCUGUACUCUCUGGAAAUCGAAACUUUGAGGGGCGUGUUCAUCCCUUGACGAGAGCAAACUACCUUGCUUCACCUCCUUUGGUGGUUGCCUAUGCACUCGCUGGCACUGUUGAUAUUGACUUUGAGAAAGAGCCAAUUGGAGUGGGAAAUGAUGGUAAGAAUGUCUACUUCAAGGAUAUUUGGCCAUCAACUGAAGAAAUUGCUGAGGUUGUUCAAUCAAGCGUAUUGCCAGACAUGUUCAAGAGUACCUAUGAAGCUAUUACAAAGGGGAAUAAUAUGUGGAAUCAAUUAUCAGUACCAGCUGCUAAGCUCUACUCAUGGGAGCCUAGUUCUACAUACAUUCACGAGCCACCAUAUUUCAAGGAUAUGACAAUGGAUCCUCCCGGGCCUCACGGUGUGAAGGAUGCUUAUUGCUUGCUGAACUUUGGUGAUAGUAUUACCACAGAUCACAUUUCACCAGCUGGAAGCAUCCACAAAGAUAGUCCUGCCGCUAAGUCCUUAUUGAGCGGGGGGUUGAUCGCAGGGACUUCAACUCAUAUGGUAGCCGUCGUGGUAAUGAUGAAAUAUGGCUAGG
Molecule: RNA transcript, 2064 nt
Organism: Nicotiana attenuata
Lineage: Eukaryota; Viridiplantae; Streptophyta; Magnoliopsida; Solanales; Solanaceae
Gene name: aconitate hydratase, cytoplasmic-like
Exons: 15
Source: RefSeq, a predicted model, not a curated record